CCUACGGGAGGCUGCAGUGGGGAAUAUUGGACAAUGGGGGCAACCCUGAUCCAGCCAUGCCGCGUGUGUGAAGAAGGCCCUCGGGUUGUAAAGCACUUUCAGUGAGGAAGAACGCCUGGUGGUUAAUACCCAUCAGGAAAGACAUCACUCACAGAAGAAGCACCGGCUAACUCCGUGCCAGCAGCCGCGGUAAUACGGAGGGUGCGAGCGUUAAUCGGAAUUACUGGGCGUAAAGCGCGCGUAGGUGGCUUGAUAAGCCGGUUGUGAAAGCCCCGGGCUCAACCUGGGAACGGCAUCCGGAACUGUCAAGCUAGAGUGCAGGAGAGGAAGGUAGAAUUCCCGGUGUAGCGGUGAAAUGCGUAGAGAUCGGGAGGAAUACCAGUGGCGAAGGCGGUCUUCUGGACUGACACUGACACUGAGGUGCGAAAGCGUGGGUAGCAAACAGGAUUAGAUACCCUGGUAGUC
RNAcentral lists this ribosomal RNA (465 nucleotides) under Vreelandella stevensii. RNAcentral describes it as "partial 16S ribosomal RNA". It matches the Rfam family "Bacterial small subunit ribosomal RNA", at positions 338 to 795 of the family's 1533-position model. Lineage: Bacteria; Pseudomonadati; Pseudomonadota; Gammaproteobacteria; Oceanospirillales; Halomonadaceae. The record is from RNAcentral.